AUAUCAAUGAGCGGAGGAAAAGAAACCAACAGGGAUUGCCCUAGUAACGGCGAGUGAAGCGGCAACAGCUCAAAUUUGAAAUCUGGCCCCUGGGUCCGAGUUGUAAUUUGUAGAGGAUGCUUUUGGUGCGGUACCUUCCGAGUUCCCUGGAACGGGACGCCAUAGAGGGUGAGAGCCCCGUCUGGUCGGAUACCAAUCCUCUGUAAAGCCUCCGUCG
RNAcentral lists this ribosomal RNA (217 nucleotides) under uncultured Fusarium. RNAcentral describes it as "partial large subunit ribosomal RNA". It matches the Rfam family "Eukaryotic large subunit ribosomal RNA", at positions 40 to 259 of the family's 3401-position model. The record is from RNAcentral. Lineage: Eukaryota; Fungi; Ascomycota; Sordariomycetes; Hypocreales; Nectriaceae.